This 489-nucleotide ribosomal RNA is filed under the name uncultured bacterium. RNAcentral describes it as "partial 16S ribosomal RNA". It matches the Rfam family "Bacterial small subunit ribosomal RNA", at positions 30 to 507 of the family's 1533-position model. The record is from RNAcentral.
UUGAACGCUGGCGGCAUGCUUUACACAUGCCAGUCGGACGGCAGCACAGAGAAGCUUGCUUCUUGGGUGGCGAGUGGCGAACGGGUGAGUAAUAUAUCGGAACGUACCGAGUAAUGGGGGAUAACUAAUCGAAAGAUUAGCUAAUACCGCAUAUUCUCUGAGGAGGAAAGCAGGGGACCUUCGGGCCUUGCGUUAUUCGAGCGGCCGAUAUCUGAUUAGCUAGUUGGUGGGGUAAAGGCCUACCAAGGCGACGAUCAGUAGCGGGUCUGAGAGGAUGAUCCGCCACACUGGGACUGAGACACGGCCCAGACUCCUACGGGAGGCAGCAGUGGGGAAUUUUGGACAAUGGGCGCAAGCCUGAUCCAGCCAUGCCGCGUGUCUGAAGAAGGCCUUCGGGUUGUAAAGGACUUUUGUCAGGGAAGAAAAGGCUGUUGCUAAUAUCGACAGCUGAUGACGGUACCUGAAGAAUAAGCACCGGCUAACUACGUG